AUGAGGAAGACAGCCCUAGAGUCCUCAUCUUAUCCACUGUCUUCUGACCUCACUGCAAAGCUUGCUACCACUCCACAUGUCAUCUUAUUUCUGCCAGGCCUGGGCCUUAUUUUCUACCCUUCUUUUCCACUCUCUGAGGAAAUCCCAGAAGCCAUUCAGCAGUGCAGCACAUUGGUUUCUACACAAAAAUGGAAGCUGGAAGCCAGUUGUCCUUCCUGGGAUCACAGCUACACCACUUUUCUCAGCAUAUUCUGCAGUUUUGGAAGCCUUUUCUGUCUGAGAACUUAUCUGAGGAAGUGGAGACAAUUUGGUGAAACAAGCACAGAAAUUAAAGCGAGUAACAUCAAAGAAAAAUACCAUCAGAGUUAUGCGGGUUUCUUUUUAAUUGAAAUUUAUAAUUGCUCUUAAUUAUAGGACAUACAUUAAAUGUUACUUUAAGAGGCUGAGGGUGGGGGUGGAGCCUGGUCCACUCUAGCCCCAUGAGCUAUAACCUUGACAUUUUAAUUAGAUAUUAUUUUGAAAUAUGUAAAAGUGAUUUACAUACUCAUGGCAAGGGUCAGCUGCCAACAUCCCGGGAGAGUCUUCUCACAUCUCUCUUCCUCUAACACAGGUAAUGUCCCCUGUCAAAGGGCCAUUUCACCUCCCUGUCAAAGGGGAAACACAUCAUUGGGCAAUUUGCCCAAGACAAACUGAUGCACAGUUUUAAAAAUAACCAACGUCUCAAAGGAACAGUAGAAAUUCUUAAGAGAGGUGAAAGCAACAAAAUAUGUCAGCCUUGUGUACACAUUCAGGUUUUCUAAGGAUUCCUCUGGGCAAAACUUCUUCUUCAUAGCAAUCCAGUGGCGGUGGCAGUGGAUGAACAGACAAAGGGAAGUGGGUCCAGUUGAUUUAUGGGCCACACACACCCAUCCUGCAGAUAAAAGGGAUGUGAGAGGAGAGUCGGGAAUCUUCUCUUGUGCCAUAUUACUUGACUGUAGGCGGAUGAUUAAAACCAACCCUUAAGUCCCUUUCUCACAAGAUGCCUUGCUUUUUUAUGCUUCAAUAUAUUAACAAUUUUGGAAAAAAAGCGGUAGGAGAGAUGGGACAAGCUUAUCCUUCAAACUUUGCCAUCAUAGGUUAGCUGGGGGUCUGAGGACAUGGAAUGCAUUGCUGAUAUCCAGCACUAGGGGAAACACACUGAUGGAACUGAUGGAAUUCUUCCAGGAGGGAAGAGACAAGGUGGAGAGCAUCAUUGUUCUCCAUCCAAAUUAAACAUUAUUAUAAUCUUUCAAAAUAUUGGGCUCUACCCCAAACCCAAUAAUAGGGAGGAAGAAUGAGGGCCCCAAAUUAAAUUUCAAAGAGAUUUGAAAGAGAAGGCUGGCAGUGAAAGGAGAGCUUUGUCGUCCAUGAGGCUCUGGACACUACAUCCUACCCCACCAUCCUGGGCAUUGUACCUUGGAGACUGUGUAGGAACAACGAUACCUACACUGAGUAUGGAUUCUCUGGAGGAAUUUGGCAGGAAUGCCCUGGUUGCUGGGCUCCACUGUCCAUUAAAGGACUUAUCACCAAGGUCAGAAUCUGACCUAGAGGAUGCGGUGGCCAUUGGAAUGCAAAUUUGCCCAGAAUCCCUUAUCUCAGGCCCAGCGGGCACCCUGUGCUUCAGCCAUGGCUGAGCCAGAGAGGGGAUUUUUUUUUUUCCAUCCCACAUUAGGUCUAGGGCCCCAGUCAGGGGCACUUGCAUUACUGCCUCCUCCAGACCCAACGGGGGGUCCCCUUAGCUAUGUCACAGCAUAGAAAGAGGUCAGGACUAGAAAAUUCUUAUGGUGUUCAUGGGGGUGGGGGCUGACGUCAGGGAAGAGAAUGAUAAAUGAGAAAUGGGAUGGGGUUGCUUCAAGGAGAUGUGACUACAUUCCCUUGACUCCAUCUCAGUGAAGCAGAUCAACCCUAUUCAUAUAAAAUCCCAAACCUGAAACUGAGUAGUUGGAGCACUGAGGGAGUGAGAGCAGAGUGAAGACUGCCUUUUGGGGCACCACUGUAUUCUCUACACUGGUUUGCCUCAUGGUCCUUUGACAGGGAGACAUUACCUGUGUUAGAGGAAGAGAGAUGUGAGAAGACUCUCGUGGGAU
Molecule: long non-coding RNA, 2105 nt
Organism: Callithrix jacchus (white-tufted-ear marmoset)
Lineage: Eukaryota; Metazoa; Chordata; Mammalia; Primates; Cebidae
Source: Ensembl